This is a regulatory RNA element of Clostridium sp. CAG:217, 137 nucleotides long. It matches the Rfam family "FMN riboswitch aptamer (RFN element)". Rfam says of the family: The RFN element is a highly conserved domain that is found frequently in the 5'-untranslated regions of prokaryotic mRNAs that encode for flavin mononucleotide (FMN) biosynthesis and transport proteins. This element is a metabolite-dependent riboswitch that directly binds FMN in the absence of proteins. The record is from Rfam. Lineage: Bacteria; Bacillati; Bacillota; Clostridia; Eubacteriales; Clostridiaceae.
AAUACUUUUCGGGGCAGGGUGCAAAUCCCUACCGGCAGUGAAAGUCUGCGAACCCGGCAACGGGCCGAGCCUGUGGAAUUCAGGCACCGACGGUGAGCAAGGUAUUCCCUUGUAAGUCCGGAUGAGAGGAAAGGUAC